This is a non-coding RNA of Lingula anatina, 72 nucleotides long. The record is from Rfam. Lineage: Eukaryota; Metazoa; Brachiopoda; Lingulata; Lingulida; Lingulidae.
UCCGGUAUGGUCUAGUGGCUAGUAUUCCUGGUUUUCACCCAGGCCAACCGGGUUCGAUUCCCCGUACCGGAA